AAGUCGUAACAAGGUCUCCGUAUGCUCGCUCGUAGAUGAAAAAUUACAGAGUUCUCGCCCUUCCGGGUAGAUCUCCCACCCACUGUUAUCGUUACCGUCGUUUCUUUGGCGGGCCGCCGGGCCCUGCUCGGCCGCCGGCCCCGGCUGGCGCGUGCCCGCCAGAGGCCCUUCAAACUCUGAAUGUUAGUGUCGUCUGAGUACUAUACAAUAGUUAAAACUUUCAACAACGGAUCUCUUGGUUCUAUGCUCGCUGAUAGUGCCAGCGAAAUGCGAUAAGUAAUGCGAAUAUGCUCGCUGUAGAUGCUCGUCGGUCUUUGAACGCACAUUGCGCCCUGUGGUAUUCCGCAGGGCAUGCCUGUUCGAGCGUCAUUUCAACCAUGCUCGCUGAUAGUGCUCGUGCCCUGCCCGUUGCGGCCGGCCCUAAAGUCAGUGGCGGCGCCGUCCGGCUCUAAGCGUAGUACAUCUCUCGCUCUAGGGCCCCGCGGUGGCUUGCCAGCAACCAUGCUCGCUCGGGAUCAGGUAGGGAUACCCGCUGAACUUAAAUGCGCGCUCGUAGAUGAUGCUCGCUGAUGAUCGUCGCUGAUAGUCGCUGUAGAGUCGCUCGU
This 605-nucleotide ribosomal RNA is filed under the name uncultured fungus. Its description in RNAcentral is "eukaryotic LSU rRNA". The stretch from base 216 to 369 matches the Rfam family "5.8S ribosomal RNA". The record is from RNAcentral. Lineage: Eukaryota; Fungi.